This 253-nucleotide ribosomal RNA is filed under the name uncultured bacterium. RNAcentral's name for it is "partial 16S ribosomal RNA". It matches the Rfam family "Bacterial small subunit ribosomal RNA", at positions 524 to 776 of the family's 1533-position model. The record is from RNAcentral.
UACGAAGGGGGCUAGCGUUGCUCGGAAUCACUGGGCGUAAAGGGCGCGUAGGCGGCGUUUUAAGUCGGGGGUGAAAGCCUGUGGCUCAACCACAGAAUGGCCUUCGAUACUGGGACGCUUGAGUAUGGUAGAGGUUGGUGGAACUGCGAGUGUAGAGGUGAAAUUCGUAGAUAUUCGCAAGAACACCGGUGGCGAAGGCGGCCAACGGGACCAUUACUGACGCUGAGGCGCGGAAGCGUGGGGAGCAAACAGG